This is a long non-coding RNA of Quercus robur (English oak), 825 nucleotides long. RefSeq lists it as uncharacterized. The record is from RefSeq and is a predicted model, not a curated record. NCBI's taxonomy places the organism in Eukaryota, Viridiplantae, Streptophyta, Magnoliopsida, Fagales, Fagaceae. The transcript has 2 exons.
CUCAAAAUUUGAUUUACAUCGAACCAAACGCAACCUAAGGGGAACGACGUCGUUCCCUUGCAACUGAAAACAAAAUAAAAAACCCUACCCCCAUCGAUACCCUAGCCUCACCGAUUUCUGAGAAAAAAAUUAAGGGGCUGAGGAAAUUGACUGAGGGAGAAAGAAAGAGGGGGAAAGAGAAAGAAAGUGAGGCUCACUUCACUGCCCCAUCAAGUAUGAGGUGAGUCCUCAUGAGCGCACCUGUCUCCACCAUGCUCAGAUCCAAAUACAAUGUUCGAUCCAUGCCCGUGCAAAAAGACGAUGAGGUCCAAGUUGUUUGUGGCACCUUCAAGGGUUGCGAGGGCAAGGUUGUCUAGGUCUACCGUCAUCUCAAGACAAGGAAGAUUCUUAGUGGAGGGCAUGAAGCCGAUGGACUUUAUUCCUGGAUCAGCGUGGUUCUUCCAAUUUAGUGGCUUCUUACUGUCUAUCACCUCUUUAGCAUCAUUGUCGCAUUGGCCAUCCAUCUCUCAAGAAUUUGAAGUUGUUAAUCCCGUGGUGUCAUUAAAUUGAGUCAUUACAAUGUGAAGCAUGUCGUUUGGUUAAACACCAUAAGGUGCCAUUUGUGUCUAGGUGUGAGAGUCGUGUUAGUAGUCCAUUUCAUUUAGUUCAUUAUGAUAUUUGAGGUCCAAUAAACACUCCCUCAUUAUUGGAAUUUAGAUAUUUUGUCACUUUUGUUGAUUAUUCUAGGGUCACCUAUCUUUAUCUUAUGAAAGAAAGGUCUGAAUUGUACUCAAUUUUCAAAUCAUUUUUUAUGGAAAUAAAGACUCAAUUUAAUGCUUCACUUCA